RNAcentral lists this ribosomal RNA (450 nucleotides) under uncultured bacterium. RNAcentral's name for it is "partial 16S ribosomal RNA". It matches the Rfam family "Bacterial small subunit ribosomal RNA", at positions 354 to 796 of the family's 1533-position model. The record is from RNAcentral.
GUGGGGAAUAUUGGACAAUGGGCGAAAGCCUGAUCCAGCCAUGCCGCGUGUGUGAAGAAGGUCUUCGGAUUGUAAAGCACUUUAAGUUGGGAGGAAGGGCAGUAAGUUAAUACCUUGCUGUUUUGACGUUACCGACAGAAUAAGCACCGGCUAACUUCGUGCCAGCAGCCGCGGUAAUACGAAGGGUGCAAGCGUUAAUCGGAAUUACUGGGCGUAAAGCGCGCGUAGGUGGUUUUGUACGUUGGAGGUGAAAUCCCCGGGCUCAACCUGGGAACAGCCGACAAACCUGAAUGACUAGAGUACGGUAGAGGGUAGUGGAAUUUCCUGUGUAGCGGUGAAAUGCGUAGAUAUAGGAAGGAACACCAGUGGCGAAGGCGACUACCUGGACUGAUACUGACACUGAGGUGCGAAAGCGUGGGGAGCAAACAGGAUUAGAUACCCCGGUAGUCC